UGGCACAGUAGUUAAGUGUUUGGCUGCUAACCAAAAGGUCAGUGGUUCAAAUCCACU
RNAcentral lists this transfer RNA (57 nucleotides) under Loxodonta africana (African savanna elephant). It matches the Rfam family "tRNA", at positions 8 to 63 of the family's 71-position model. Rfam says of the family: Transfer RNA (tRNA) molecules are approximately 80 nucleotides in length. The record is from Rfam by way of RNAcentral. Lineage: Eukaryota; Metazoa; Chordata; Mammalia; Proboscidea; Elephantidae.